Molecule: ribosomal RNA, 468 nt
Filed under: Triticum aestivum (bread wheat)
Lineage: Eukaryota; Viridiplantae; Streptophyta; Magnoliopsida; Poales; Poaceae
Description: partial small subunit ribosomal RNA
Source: RNAcentral
AUGAAAGAUCACAUACUUGAAUUUGAUUUGGAUAGAGGGACACUCGCCAUGAUCGAGGGGCCUGGUCUUAAUGAACCCCACAAACAUCGGAUCAUCAAAGCAGAGGAUGGUCAUGUUGGUCUUUUCGUGUUAACUGAAUAUAGCAUUCAAAUGUGGCAGAUGAAGGUCAAUUAUCAAGGUGUUACCACAUGGUUGUUGCGGAAUGCUGCAAUUCAUGGGAUCUCUCCUCGGGUUAAGAUAAAAAAGACACGAUUGCUUGGGUAUGAUGAGGAUACUGAAGCAAUAGUUCUAAAUAUGCGCGGGGGAGUCUAUAUGGUUGAACUUAAGUCAAUGCAAUGCAAGAAACUUCAUGAAGUCACUAAUUAUGCAAGCUGUCGCUAUUAUCCUUUUAAGAGUUUCCGUCCUCCAGGCAUAGGCAUUGCUGCUGGAUGUGAUGGAGUUGAAGCGCGGCACGGUGCAUUGGGAUGA